This 974-nucleotide ribosomal RNA is filed under the name Paragonimus ohirai. Its description in RNAcentral is "16S ribosomal RNA". The stretch from base 622 to 974 matches the Rfam family "Bacterial large subunit ribosomal RNA", at positions 2049 to 2714 of the family's 2925-position model. The record is from RNAcentral. Lineage: Eukaryota; Metazoa; Platyhelminthes; Trematoda; Plagiorchiida; Troglotrematidae.
AUUUUGAGAUCGUUUUAGUUUUUGUGUUUAGGGGGUGUCGUACCUUUUGCAUCAUGAUUCUUUGACGGAAGUUGGUUAUAUUCAGUGUCUCGAAAGGCAACGAUUUAGGUUUAUCUUGUUUUAGAACUUAGGGAUUGGCGGGUAGCUGAAUCUUAAAGAUAGACUUGGAGGCGAUAGGUAAUGCGUGUUGCUUUAUAGCUAGUUUUUGAGUGCUUUUUCGUUUUAGCCUUGUUGCUUAAAUGUGAUGGGGCAGUUAAGAGAGUGUAUGUCUAUGGUUUUAAGGUGGGUUAAAGGUACCCAGCUUUAGUUUCGUGUUAUAACGAUUUUUUGUCAUAGGUUUUCUUUAGUUUGGUACUCAAAUAGUUUGGAAUAUUUUGUUUAAGUAUGGAGGGAUUAGUAGUUUUAAUAGUUCCUUUUUUUCUCGAAUUUCUUCAGUCUGUUUCUUAAAAACAUUGCCAUUGUUAGAAUUUUGAUGGUAGGGCCUGCUCGAUGUUUUAAUAAAUGGCCGCAGUAUUUUGACUGUGCUAAGGUAGCAUAAUUAGUUGCCUUAUAAUUGAAGGAUUGUUUGAAUGGUUUAACUAGAGGAGUAUUUUAGAUGGGGGCUAUUAUUGAAAUUAGGUGGCUGGUGCAGAUCCCAGCGUUUUUUAAUUAGACGGAAAGACCCCGAGAGCUUAAUAAUAAUUUGUUGUUUACUUGGGGCAAGAGCAUAUGCUUUAUAUGUUUUUGGAUCCUUUUGGAAGGAGAUUAGUUACCUCGGGGAUAACUAGGUAAGAGGCAAGGAGAGGUCAUAUCGAUUUGCCUGUUUGCUAUCUCGAUGUUGACUUAGGGUGAGUAUGAGGGUGCAGUAGUUUUCAUACAUGGUCUGUUCGACCGUAGUUCCCUUCAUGAGUUGAGUUAAGACCGGCGUGAGCCAGGUCGGUUCUUAUCUUUUAUUGUUGCGGUUUCGUACGAAAGGAGCAUCCGUGAUUUAGGUU